RNAcentral lists this non-coding RNA (20 nucleotides) under Arabidopsis thaliana (thale cress). The record is from RNAcentral. Lineage: Eukaryota; Viridiplantae; Streptophyta; Magnoliopsida; Brassicales; Brassicaceae.
UCAUGGGUCAACUCAACUCA